UAUGCAUAGUCAUGUUGCCUGGUCACCACCU
Molecule: non-coding RNA, 31 nt
Filed under: Rattus norvegicus (Norway rat)
Lineage: Eukaryota; Metazoa; Chordata; Mammalia; Rodentia; Muridae
Source: RNAcentral